Long non-coding RNA from Eriocheir sinensis (Chinese mitten crab), 323 nucleotides. RefSeq lists it as uncharacterized. The record is from RefSeq and is a predicted model, not a curated record. Lineage: Eukaryota; Metazoa; Arthropoda; Malacostraca; Decapoda; Varunidae. The transcript has 3 exons.
AUUUUCUUUGAUAUGGAUCAAAGCCAUAGGUUAAGCAUGAAAGAAGAAAGUAUUUUCUUUGAUAUGGAUCAAAGCCAUAGGUUAAGCAUGAAAGAAGAAAGCAUUUUCUUUGAUAUGGGCCAUAGGUUAAGCAUGAAAGAGGAAAGCAUUUUCUUUGAUAUGGAUCAAAGCCAUAGGUUAAGCAUGAAAGAGGAAAGCAUUUUCUUUGAUAUGGAUCAAAGCCAUAGGUUAAGCAUGAAAGAGGAAAGCAUUUUCUUUGAUAUGGAUCAAAGCCAUAGGUUAAGCAUGAAAGAAGAAAGCAUUUUCUUUGAUAUGGAUCAAAG